Molecule: long non-coding RNA, 768 nt
Filed under: Physcomitrium patens
Lineage: Eukaryota; Viridiplantae; Streptophyta; Bryopsida; Funariales; Funariaceae
Description: long non-coding RNA (PPAT_LNC002955)
Source: RNAcentral
GGAAGGUUGAAUAGAAAUUGCAACAACAAAAUCCUAAUUCUAAUAAAACACUAACAAUGCUAAACAAGCUUUAAUCAAAUUUAGAGAAACCUCGUAGAAAUUCCAAAGAAAUAAUAAGAAAUCUUAAAAAAAUAUUAGAAUGAUUACAAACAUAUCUCAAAUAUGUCUCAAUUCAAUCUUAAUUUAAUCCUAGUUGAAAUCUUAUUGGACUUCAUUCAAACUUUAGGCCAAAAACUAAUUAAAUCUUAAAUCCUAAACAUACUCAAAUAAAAUCCUAAAUCCUAAAUCAAAUCUUGAUCAAACCCUAAUUAAACCUUAAAUCCUAAAUCAAUUCCUAAAUACAAAAUCAGACCCUAACCAAAUCCUAAAUCCUAAACCAACUUUUAAUCCUAAAUCAAAUUCUAACCAAACCCUAAAUCCUAAACCAAAUCCUAAUAUUAAAUCAAAUCCUAAUCAAAUCCUAAAUCCUAAACCAAAUCCUAAUCCUAAAUCAAAAUCUAACCAAAUCCUAACUCUAAAUCAAAUCCUAACCAAAUUCUAAUCCUAAAUCAAAUCCUAAUCAAUCCUAAACCAAAUCCUAAAUCCUAAAUCAAAUCUUAAUCAAAUCUUAACCCUAAAUCAAAUCCUAAUCAAAUUCUAAACCCUAAAUCAAAUCCUAAUCCUAAAUCAAACCCUAACCAAAUCCUAACCCUAAUCCUAAACCUUAAACCAAAUCCUAACCAAAUCCUAGUAAUUUCUACAACAGAUUAAACUUCAAUAACUAAUGAA